Molecule: transfer RNA, 72 nt
Filed under: Ovis aries (sheep)
Lineage: Eukaryota; Metazoa; Chordata; Mammalia; Artiodactyla; Bovidae
Rfam family: tRNA
About the family: Transfer RNA (tRNA) molecules are approximately 80 nucleotides in length.
Source: Rfam by way of RNAcentral
UCCCUGGUGGUCCAGUAGUCAAGAACCCUCCUUGCAAUGCAGAGGACCCAGGUUUGAUCCCUGGUCAGGGAA